This is a long non-coding RNA of Orcinus orca (killer whale), 5495 nucleotides long. RefSeq lists it as uncharacterized. The transcript is spliced from 2 exons. NCBI's taxonomy places the organism in Eukaryota, Metazoa, Chordata, Mammalia, Artiodactyla, Delphinidae. The record is from RefSeq and is a predicted model, not a curated record.
UAAAAUUUUUGAAAAAAAUCAUUUUUCUUCCAACGUUCAAAGUAGGUAUAGAUAAAGUACAGAUAAACAAAAAAGAGGAAAAUAACUCCAUGAUCCGAAGAGAAUUGAUAGCAUUUUGAAGUAAACAUUCAAAUAUGUGCUAUAUAUGUACAUAACAGGAUGUUAAAAAGGGACUCUUUCUGCUUACUUUUGGCUGAAGCCCUACAGGUGGAUAACAAUACAAUAGGUACCCAAGAAUCCCAUGUCCUAAAUAUUCAAAUUAAGUUGCUGUGAUGCCUAGGCAAGGGUAGACCGAGAGAUUAUGAAACAGGUUCUGCCAGAAUUGAGCCAUCACCCCACCAGCCUAAAAAGUAGGGGUUGAAGAGUAGUGAGAGAAAAUGUCAUGGAGGGCCUUGUUGGUGGGCUGGGUCCCACUCCACCUCCCAGGGAGGAGAGAAGUACAUCCCCUCAUCCGAAGCCAAGCGAGAGGGGCUUCCAAGACCCACUCAGAGAGCUAGACACGUCCUUCUGGAGCUUGGGAACUGGUGUCUGCCUUUUAUCAAGAAAAGCCCGCAGAUGAGAGACUGGCUGGACCUAAGCCUACCCGAUAGCAAGGAGAGAGAAGGGCUGCACUGCCAUGGUGGCAGGCCAAGAUGUGUGAGCUUCGCCAGGGCCAUGUGGAUCCGAGGAGGGAUCUAGCCUGAGUUAUUUAAAAAAGGGACCACAGGGACUUCCCUGGCGGUCCAGUGGUUAAGACUCCAAGCUUCCACUGCUGGGGACGCAGGUUCGAUCCCUGGUGGGGGAAAUAAGGUCCCGCAUGCUGUGGGUCGCGGCCAAAAUUGAAAAAAAUAAUAAAAGGGGACCACUUAAGAGGAUACCUGAGUGGGAGGGCAAAGGGCCCAAAGGAUAGGGUUAGUGUAAGGGAGAUGGCUGGAAACCCCAUGGGUGGAGGGGAGAACUGGAAGCUUCCACCUGGAAGAGAGACAGUGUCCUUAAACAGUGAAUUUUGGGAGCAACCUGCAAAGGCAUGUACCAGAGAAAGAGGCUGCAAGGUGCAUCUACCACACUCGCAGAAGCCAAUGAAGGAUCUGGCUGAGCCUGCCAGGGAAGACUGCCCUUCCCCCGCUGCCAUCCCAAGGGCCCUGCCUUGGAUGGGGUUGGAGCUGAAGGGAAGAUGAGGCGCUAUGAGAGGGAAGACAGCACUACUAAGCUUUCCAGGAGUCCAAGUUCGCAACAGGUUGGCCUGGAGGAGAAGAUUCCCUUUAAGUGGAAAAGUUCAGAUUGGACUGAAUUAUCGAAUUAAGACCGUCCAACUGACUGAAAGGGAUCAUAAAAGCUUUGAGACCUGCCUGAGACUUCAUCCAGGCACAGGAAAAGGACAAAUCCAGAAAGUAGGUUUGAAGUAAAUGUGGGAGAAGGAAAACAGUUGCUUUGUUAUCACACUUGUGCCCAUCUUAAUCAACAAAAUAGUAACAAGUAUAAGAAAUAUUUUUAAACAAGUAUUGGAUCAUACUGGGUUCUUAUGUAAAUUAAAUGUUUGAUGUUUGGCAUGUAAUAGCAUAAUGCUUGGCACAUAAUAAAUACCAUAUAAGUGUUAGCUAUUAUUUUUCUUAAUAAGAAUACUAACAUUCUAACCUGCCUUUUUAAUUUAACAAUAUAUCCUAAAUAUAUUUUCAUGUUAAUAAGUACAAUUAUGGCACAUAACCAGAAUGAGAUCCACAAUGUCUGUUUUAUUCACUAACGUAUCCUAUUUACAACAGUGCCUAGCACAUAGCAGGUAAUCAAUUGCUAAAUGAAUCAUUUCAAGUGGCUCUAAUGUGUUGUUGUAUGGAAUGUACUAUAUUUAUUCAUUGAUCUCCUGUUAUUGGUUAGAAAACAUUGGAAACAACUGCAUCUAGGUGGUUUCCAAUCUUUCAUGAUGAUAAACCAAACUCUAACAAAUGUCCAUAUUUUUGGAUCUUCGUGUACCUCCUUCAUUAUUUUCUUGGUAUAAGUUCUUAGAAGAGGAAUUGCUGUUAAAGGGUAUGAAUGUUUUAUUAAAACUUCGAAAAUUGCCAAAUUGCCCUCUGGAGGGAGACUAUGGAAGAAUUAGGAAUUUCGAAGUACAGAGAUUAUUUUUAUUUUCUUUGUAUAGCUCUGAUAUUUCCCAGUUCCAAGAGUUUUGGCAUGGCUUCAACCAAGAAGGCUUUCUGCAAGGUUGAAAAUUAAAACACAUUUCGGGAACUUUUUCUAGGACAUAGUUGACUGAAUGAAAUGGAAGGGAAAACAAAGCAAUUCAGCCGCGGUGAGUAACUCCACAGCCCAGGAAGCCUCAGCCUGGAAGAGAAUAGAUUCCUCUCCAGGCAUCACAGAGAAGAAUUAUAAGUCAAGAAUACAACUAACUGUUUACUGAGCACCCACGAGGAAUGGCACUGUUCUGGCUGUUGCGGACACAUGAUGCCCAGUACGUGCUAUUCCACAGCAUUGACCACUUCAGCAUGUGGUGGCCUCUCUCUGCUACCCCCUCCCUUCCCUUCUUUCCCUGCCUUCCAGCCCCCAUGCCCAGAAUGUAAGCUUUCCAGGGAACGGCCUUUGUUUAUUUCAUCUUGCAUCCCUGGCACACAACAGGAAAAAUGCAGUAGAUGCAAUGCAUGUUUGUAAAACUGAACAGAACUCCCCCUAGGAAAAUUCUAGAGGGGCUGGCACAAAGUCUGGAAAACAUACACGUGUACACACAUUUGAAUGGCUAAUGCCAAAUGUGAGAAGCUCAACCGCUGUCAUCUUGAGUUCUCACACUAGAAGCUCAGGCAGAUACUGAGUUUUGAGCCCCUUCUCAGAUCAGUCUUCUGACCCAGAUUUGUUCAGUAACAGGAUCUAGUUAGACUAGAUGACUGUGAUGAAGUUUCACUCUGCUCCUUUAUGUGGAAUAGCAGACAAAUAUUGAAGCCCACAUAAGCUUGAGACCCUGAGCCAAGCAACCCAAAAGAUUGCAUACCUCCCUUAGCACUUGUGUGUUGAAUCUGCGUUCGGGGCUUUGGCACGUUCUCUGGACGUUGUCAGUGGGUGAAGCUAUAUGGUGGAGAUGACUGGAUGCCUACCCAGUGUCCAUUCACUCCUGCUUCUUCACUAUGGAACCCAUUAUUAUUAGAGAUAGCAAAGUACCUAAUUAAAAAAAUUACAUUUCUAGGCCUGCUUUGAGGACAGGGGUAGCCAAUGAGAUAUAAAGGGAGUUGUUGGGUGAGACUUCCAGGAACACUCCUAAAGGAGCCCUAUUCAUCUACUAUGUGGUUUUGUUCUUCAUGACUUCCUCCCUUCUCUCUUCUUGUUACCUAGGUCACAGAUACAGUAGCUGGAGCUCCAGCAGCCAUCUUGUGACCAUGAACUUAAGGAUGGAAAUCAGUACUAGGCAUGUUAGAGCAGAAAGGAUAGGAGAUUUGGAAAAACCAGCCCAAGCCUGCCUGCUUCCAGAUUUAUUUUACCUGAGAGAAAAACAAACCCCUAUCUUGUUUAACUACUGUCACUUGACUCUGUUAGUAGAGGCUAACUGUAAUUGCUAUGGGGAUGACUUUCUAUGGGAUGAAGGGCACAGUAGGCAUUUGGAAAUUUUUUGGGGGGGGUGGUUGUACUUUUUUGCUGUCACAAUAAAUGACACUACUUGUAUUUAGUAGAUAAGAGCCUGGGAUGUUCUGUCAUAGAUGUUCAUGCAGAAUUAAAAUGACAACAACAAUGUUUAUAAUUACCUGUGCCUCAAACAUAACUAUAUUUUACGUAUAAAUAAAAUGUAUAAUUUGCAUGGUUUCAGACACACUUAAUUUUCCAGGAAUGCAACUGCCAUGUGAAACAAAGAAAUCUUGUACUUUGUUUUUUGGACCUUUACUAGGAUUUGUUCACAGCACUAAUUAUAUGCAGCAUGACACAACUGUAUUGAUCUACGUUUAUAGCUGUCCCGUUCAUGGUGAAUGUAUGAAUAAUUACAUUUGUCUCCUUCAUCUUAUCUUCUAAGGUAGUUGGGCCCAAGCUUUUCCAUAUUGAAAUACAUAUUACUUUAUUACAAAUGACCUCCCUUUUAUUUCUCCUCUGAAUCUUUCCAGUCAAGGCAGUAUGCUGAUCUUAUUUUUGAGAAGGUAUAUAUGGGUAGGUUAUAUUAUCUAUACAUUGCAUCUCAGGGUCAUAACAUUUGUUUCAUAAAAGAAGGAGAAAUGCAUUCGUUUUGACAUUGUGCCUGUUGUCCCAAUUGAUCAGACUAUUACACAUUCAGCCUUUGUCGGCCUUCUUCGCUUUCAUGCUAAGAGGCAGAAAGGACUGGCAAUAGAGAGCUGAGUGGGGUUUAUAUGUCAGAGCAAAACAGGCAUGAUUUUUACAUUCAUCAGUAGCAAGCCUGGCUUUGGGCAUAAAUACAGAAGAUGCCAUAUGUGCAAUGUCAUUUGAGAGUUAAUUGUUUCUGAGAGUUAAGUAUCAAUAUUAAUCUGUGACCUACCAUGACAACUCUAUACACAUUAGUUUAUCAGAGGACACAGAAUUAGGACAGAACUAUCUAUUGAUAGAGGGGGAGCCAGGGCAAGGCACAGUUCUGGAACUCCAGGGACUCGGAAAGGAAGGGAUGGGGAGUUGAAGAAACCACAGAGGUCAUCUGGGGGUAGGGAGAGUGCCAGGGGAAGGAGCAUGGCCAGAGGGGACUUGCAGCCUGCACGGCCAGCCCACGGUUCGCCCUGGUCACCCCUCUGGAGUGACUGAAUUAACCACAUCUCACACGCCUUAAUUGGAGCAGAUAAUUGGUGAGCUGGCUUUGUGCACAGGAAAUGUGUUCGGAUAAACUUGGCCGAGUGGAACAGGAAGAAUGGGGACCACCUGAUUUCAUCUUGUGCCAAGGAGGGAGAUACAAAGCAGCAGUGUCUCCUGUGGAGCCUGGCCCAGGCAAAGCAAGGGGACAGAGAACCUGUGCAAACUGCAGGCCAGUGGGAUCUCCCUGGACCAGAUGAUGGUCAGGAACUCUGGGACUGGGCUCAGUAAUUAAGCUGCUUUGUGACUUUGGGCAAGUAAUUUAACCUUUCUGUGUCUGUUUCCUCGUCUGUAAAACAAUUGAGGGGAAAGAAAAUGUUAUGACCUCCUUAAAAAUCAUGUCACUUCAUUCCAUCCAAUCACAGAUGUGGCUUGAUUGCCUCCUCUGUGGGUAGAACUAUGCCAGGGGCUGUGCCUGCUUCCCUGAAUGCCCAUAGGAGUGAGAGGGGUGUAAAACAAACACAUAUAAACAAUAUUUGCAGGGCAGUGAAAAAUCUUUACCCUUACCACAGAUAAAUCUCGACUAACUUGCACUUCAGGUUGGGCUAUAUCUUGAUCAAAUCUCCUGCUCCAGCCCUUUGGCCGUCUUCUUUCAGAGGUGCCUGGGAGAAGGACUGUUCAGAGAUGGCAUGUUGCCAGGACAACAGAAACCAAACACUGGAGAAGGUGUCAUCGUUUUUGAGGACGUGAUGGCUGUUUGUGGGCUCUUGAAGGUGCUUCCACCACCUAUCCCAGGGCCUGGCACCGCCCUCCCCCCC